Molecule: small RNA, 388 nt
Filed under: Pan troglodytes (chimpanzee)
Lineage: Eukaryota; Metazoa; Chordata; Mammalia; Primates; Hominidae
Description: retained intron
Source: RNAcentral
CUCAUCUCUGGGGGAUCCUGAAACUCCGCCACAUCUGGAACCUGAAGUUGAUGCGUUGGACCCCUGCAGCUGCAGACAUCUGCUUCACCAAGGAGCUACACUCCCACUUCUUCAGCUUGGGCAAGUGUGUGCCUGUGUGCCGAGGAGAUGGCGUCUACCAGAAGGGGAUGGACUUCAUUUUGGAGAAGCUCAACCAUGGGGACUGGGUGCAUAUCUUCCCAGAAGGUCAGCAGGGCUGACUGGGUCGAGCCCCCCCAGUAUGAGCGGGAUGGGCUCCCAAGCUUCGCCUCUGUGCUCUCUCACCAGGGAAAGUGAACAUGAGUUCCGAAUUCCUGCGUUUCAAGUGGGGUAAGGGCUGCUGGUCUCUGGCCACAGCCAUCCUCCCGGC